Abortiporus biennis is the source of this 100-nucleotide non-coding RNA. The record is from the annotation of a GenBank genome assembly. NCBI's taxonomy places the organism in Eukaryota, Fungi, Basidiomycota, Agaricomycetes, Polyporales, Podoscyphaceae.
GGUGGCGUGGCCGAGUGGUCUAAGGCGUUGGAUUUAAGCUUCAGGUUAGCUGUUUCCCAAUGGACGUGAGUCCGCGCGAGUUCGAACCUCGCCGCCACCA